Molecule: ribosomal RNA, 496 nt
Filed under: uncultured bacterium
Lineage: Bacteria
Description: partial 16S ribosomal RNA
Rfam family: Bacterial small subunit ribosomal RNA
Source: RNAcentral
AUGAACGCUGGCGGCGUGCCUAAUACAUGCAAGUCGAGCGAACAGACGAGGAGCUUGCUCCUCUGACGUUAGCGGCGGACGGGUGAGUAACACGUGGAUAACCUACCUAUAAGCCUGGGAUAACUUCGGGAAACCGGAGCUAAUACCGGAUAAUAUAUUGAACCGCAUGGUUCAAUAGUGAAAGACGGUUUUGCUGUCACUUAUAGAUGGAUCCGCGCCGCAUUAGCUAGUUGGUAAGGUAACGGCUUACCAAGGCGACGAUGCGUAGCCGACCUGAGAGGGUGAUCGGCCACACUGGAACUGAGACACGGUCCAGACUCCUACGGGAGGCAGCAGUAGGGAAUCUUCCGCAAUGGGCGAAAGCCUGACGGAGCAACGCCGCGUGAGUGAUGAAGGUCUUCGGAUCGUAAAACUCUGUUAUUAGGGAAGAACAAAUGUGUAAGUAACUAUGCACGUCUUGACGGUACCUAAUCAGAAAGCCACGGCUAACUACGUG